UGGAUUUCUGUCGUGGUCAUCCGGUACCGCCCGUAUGGGUGUGCACCUGGUUUGCCCUCGGCUUUCUUCCGGUAGCCUUCCGCGCUUAACUGCGUGUGUUGGUGUUCCGGAACUUUUACUUUGAGAAAAAUAGAGUGUUUCAAGCAGGCUUGUCGCCCUGAAUACUUCAGCAUGGAAUAAUAAGAUAGGACCUCGGUUCUAUUUUGUUGGUUUCUAGGACCAAGGUAAUGAUUAAUAGGGACAGUUGGGGGCAUUCGUAUUUAACUGUCAGAGGUGAAAUUCUUAGAUUUGUUAAAGACGAACUACUGCGAAAGCAUUUGCCAAGGAUGUUUUCAUUAAUCAAGAACGACAGUAGGGGGUUUGAAGACGAUUAGAUACCGUCGUAAUCUCUACCAUAAACUAUGCCGACUA
This 411-nucleotide ribosomal RNA is filed under the name Isospora sp. RNAcentral's name for it is "SSU rRNA". It matches the Rfam family "Eukaryotic small subunit ribosomal RNA", at positions 635 to 1048 of the family's 1831-position model. The record is from RNAcentral. Lineage: Eukaryota; Apicomplexa; Conoidasida; Eucoccidiorida; Eimeriidae.